AUUGAACGCUGGCGGCAUGCCUUACACAUGCAAGUCGAACGGCAGCACGGGGGCAACCCUGGUGGCGAGUGGCGAACGGGUGAGUAAUACAUCGGAAUGUACCCAGUAGUGGGGGGGUAACUAGUCGAAAGAUUAGCUAAUACCGCAUACGCACUAUGGUGGAAAGCGGGGGAUCGCAAGACCUCGCGCUAUUGGAGCAGCCGAUGUCCGAUUAGGUAGUUGGUGGGGGUAAAGGCCUACCAAGCCUGCGAUCGGUAACUGGUCUGAGAGGACGACCAGUCACACUGGGACUGAGACACGGCCCAGACUCCUACGGGAGGCAGCAGUGGGGAAUUUUGGACAAUGGGGGAACCCUGAUCCAGCAAUGCCGCGUGUGUGACGAAGGCCUUCGGGUUGGUUAAAG
This 403-nucleotide ribosomal RNA is filed under the name uncultured bacterium. RNAcentral's name for it is "bacterial SSU rRNA". It matches the Rfam family "Bacterial small subunit ribosomal RNA", at positions 30 to 430 of the family's 1533-position model. The record is from RNAcentral.